GAUGAACGCUAGCGGCAGGCUUAACACAUGCAAGUCGAGGGGUAGAGGCUUUCGGGCCUUGAGACCGGCGCACGGGUGCGUAACGCGUAUGCAAUCUGCCUUUCACAGAGGGAUAGCCCAGAGAAAUUUGGAUUAAUACCUCAUAGCGUUGGAGAAGGGCAUCCUUUUCCAAUUAAAGUCACAACGGUGAAAGAUGAGCAUGCGUCCCAUUAGCUAGUUGGUAAGGUAACGGCUUACCAAGGCUACGAUGGGUAGGGGUCCUGAGAGGGAGAUCCCCCACCAUGGUACUGAGACACGGACCAGACCCCUAGGGGAGGCAGCAGUGAGGAAUAUUGGUCAAUGGGCGCAAGCCUGAACCAGCCAUGCCGCGUGCAGGAUGACGGUCCUAUGGAUUGUAAACUGCUUUUGUACGGGAAGAAACACUGAUUCGUGAAUCAGCUUGACGGUACCGUAAGAAUAAGGAUCGGCUAACUCCGUGCCAGCCGCCGCAGUAA
RNAcentral lists this ribosomal RNA (494 nucleotides) under uncultured bacterium. RNAcentral's name for it is "partial 16S ribosomal RNA". It matches the Rfam family "Bacterial small subunit ribosomal RNA", at positions 28 to 523 of the family's 1533-position model. The record is from RNAcentral.